Saimiri boliviensis boliviensis (Bolivian squirrel monkey) is the source of this 1973-nucleotide long non-coding RNA. RefSeq lists it as uncharacterized. NCBI's taxonomy places the organism in Eukaryota, Metazoa, Chordata, Mammalia, Primates, Cebidae. The record is from RefSeq and is a predicted model, not a curated record.
CACUGCGUCCGCUCCCCACGGCCGGCGGCGCUGUCUCUUCUCGGCGCCCAGCACACACCGGCUCCAGGCUCCGAUCAGCUGGCGGCGUCGUGACGCACGAGCUGCGAAUCGCAGUCCGGGGCCAAUCACCGCCCACUGCUGGGCAACGUGGCCACGCCCAUCCGAGGGCGCCGGGGCCUCGCCCUGAUCCCGCCUCUCCGGGCGCCCUGGCUCUGAUUGGCAAGGAGGCUACCCCUUUGCCAAGCGGCAUUGCACCAAGCCAUGCCCACCAACUCCGGAGCCGGCCAAUAGAUGGAAGGGCGUGGCUCAGCCUUUCGCGUCAGCGACCUGCUUAGAAAAGCGCUACGUCAAACGAGAGUCCUAAAGAGCUGGCGAAAGUCACGGCGUCUGCGUGUGCGGUGCAUGCCGGUCCGUGUAGUUCGCAGCCCGACACCCUCAUUCCCAGAACCCAGCGCGCUCUGUGAGUUGGCAUUUUUAAACUGAGCUCGGAAUCCAGCCCAGGGAAGUCCUUAAAGGGCGACCGCCCCUCUGUGUUGGAGCCGUGAGUGCUUCUUUUAGACAUCCCCCAAACGGACUCGCCGGCCUCCGCAGGACGCUCUAGCUCUUUAAGGAAAGGUGGAGCUGACUCAAGAGCAGGAGUGGGCAGAGCAUCAGCGCCCAGGGCGGCCGACUCUGCGGAUUUUGGAGGAGGGCGGAUGCCCACCUCGCCCAGCCCAGCCCAGCCCGCUCCUCCUGGGAGCCCUUCCUAACCAGAGGAGGCUUUUUGCUUGGAUGUCUCUUCCCAGUCCCAGCCUCCCAAGAGGUAGCUUUCUAACAAAAGAUUCAUAGCACAGUCCUCACCUUAAGGUAGAGGGAGGGCUUCUGGUCAGAAAUUAGGGGAUGGGCCAUGCCAAAGUGCAAAUGGUCAGCAAUCGCAUCCUCUGAUUAACCCCUAUUCAGUCCCGCCCUCCAAAGCUCUUCACUGACUCAGGCCUACUUAGGGAAGAGAUUUCAGAGGUGGAGACCAAUGAGCAGGCUGCUCCUUCCCCAGGGGCCAAUCAGAGUCUAGGUGAGCGGGGGAUGGGCACAAACUGAAAUGAACCCAAUGACUUGGCAAAAGCUGCUGGUCCGCUUUUUUAAAGGGGCAAGCCUGAGACCUGCCCCACCUCAUCACUCCCCGCGACCCCCCGAAGAGGAACGUGUGGACUGAAAUCCAUGACUUUUCCUUAAGCUCCAAAGAGUGUCUGAGAGGAACUGGGCAGGAGAGAUGAGCCUGGAGGGUGAGAUCGUUCCAUCUGAUAAAUAAUCGCUCCAUCAGCGGUGCCCGGCCCACAGUAGCCAUCCCACCCAGAGCAAGGCUCCCAAUUGCUACUGGGGAACUGCUGAAGGACUCCAGGCGGAACACGUUGGCCGCAGAAGCCAGUGUCGUAGGCUGGGAAGUGCUGCAGGAAGCCCCAGCUCAAGGCCCUUGGGGUGGCUCUUUUCCAUUUUCUUCUGCGCACUGACGCCACCCUCUAGGCCAAAAGCACAGGCUUAGAGUCCAAGGUUUCUCAACCUCAGCACCCACUGGCAUUUGCAAGUUUCUUUGAAUGGCUGCACCAUAGGCCAGACCCUAAGUGGAGCCAUGAUGACCCCCGUGACCGGCAAGGACGCCCCAGGAUGGCCUCCUGGAAGCAGAAAAUCUGAAGUAACUGGAAGACCAUGAAAAGGGGAAGAAUGACCAACCUGCAGCACCUAAUUAACUUGAAACAUUCUUCUGUGGUUCCCUGUUCCCGCCUCAAUUGAUAAGGCCAUUGGACUUUGUAACCAUCCUUGUUCAACCUCGUGACUGCAGACCCUACGGCCCCCUGCCAGCUUGCAAAAACCGCCCUCAACUGUAACUUCUGUAACCUACUGCCUACCCCAAACCUAUAAAACCAACUCCUAUCCCGCCGCCCUCCGAUGACUCUGGACUCAGCCUGCCCGCACCUGGGCAAAUAAGCAGCCAUGUUGCU